AGAUGUGAGGGUGAUCUGGCUGCGACAUCUGUCACCCCAUUUAUCACCAGGGUUGAUUCGGCUGAUCUGGCUGGCUAGGCGGGUGUCCUCUUCCUCCCUCACCGCUCCAUGUGCGUCCCUCACGAAGCUGUGCGCUCAGUGGAGGAAGAUAGCUGCUAUCAUGUUAUGAUGGGUACUUUUUCCCCAGGUGAACCAUGUGCAUGAUUUUGUCUGGAAGAAGGAAUAGACUGGUGCACCAUUGCCUGC
RNAcentral lists this small RNA (246 nucleotides) under Pogona vitticeps (central bearded dragon). Its description in RNAcentral is "7SK RNA (ENSPVIG00000019432.1)". The stretch from base 1 to 198 matches the Rfam family "7SK RNA". From Rfam's summary of the family: 7SK was discovered as an abundant small nuclear RNA in the mid-70s but a possible function has only recently been suggested. Two independent studies have found that 7SK RNA binds the CDK9/cyclin T complex (known as elongation factor P-TEFb). Lineage: Eukaryota; Metazoa; Chordata; Lepidosauria; Squamata; Agamidae. The record is from RNAcentral.